Long non-coding RNA from Drosophila nasuta, 1892 nucleotides. RefSeq lists it as uncharacterized. NCBI's taxonomy places the organism in Eukaryota, Metazoa, Arthropoda, Insecta, Diptera, Drosophilidae. The transcript has 2 exons. The record is from RefSeq and is a predicted model, not a curated record.
GCCAGACAGUCAUUAUUAUCCUUGUGGACCCCACGCUGACAGGUUGCCAUUAUUUCAAAGCUCUGCUUCAAUUUGUCUGUACAAAUAUGUGUUGCAGAGUUUGACACGCAAGUAUAAUUUUGUAUGCAUUAAAAACGGUCCUUAAAAAAUACUUGUUGCAAAUUUGGUGUACACAACAGCCAAAUUAAAUUGUCUAUACACUAAAUUUAUUUCCUUCUAAUCCAAUUAUUUUAUAUUUAUAAGUAUGCAGGAUAUCGUUCCGUAGUUUGCAAUGCUUCGAAUAGUGAAAUAGACAACAAAAAGAUGACUCAUCAAGUGGUCGUGGCCGAGCUCCCAUGCUAUGGCAUUAUUCGAAGCAGUGAGCACGGCGCAAUGUCCUGCCAAGAAUUAUAGAUACGCUGGAGCUGCUAUAGUGUGAAUGUGUAAAAAUUGAGCAUAGGAAUAUGGUUCAGAAAUUUGCAACUUGAACGAUAACCCGCACUUGGAGCUGGCUAUCGUGCAAGUCAUCGUUAAUGUUGCGGAAUUCUGUUUCCCUUAAAAUCAACUUGUGUUCAAUUCAAGCGAGGAAGUAACUUCUUUAUCAACAUGGAAUUCUACAAUCUCGAUGCUUCUUCUGCACGGAAAUCUCUCAGCUUGCCAGUAAAAUGCAAGCGUCAACCAUCGAAAGCCAAAGCAAUAUUCCGAAGGAAGCAACCACACAAAAAAUGCAUUUAACUUUGUUAUAGUAUUAUAGAUACACAAAUAUUUAUAUUUCAUGUACAAUUAUAUUCGUUAUAUAGUAUGUAUAGAGUAAUCAGACCAGUUGCACAUUCCAAAACUAAAGUCAAUUUCAACAUUUCUGUUGAUAUUGGAUUUCAAGUGGAAUGUUUAGUUGGUCUGCAUAGAUCUAUGUUUUCAUUUGUAAAAUAGUUAAAUAACAUUUGUAUAAAAAGAGAAACAAUUACAUACUUGUGACUGCAUUUCAGACCAAAUACAAAAAUGUUUAAAAUUCAACAAGCGUCAAAAAACAACAACAGAUUAUUCGCGCUUUUUUCAUUAGUUUUGAGAUGCGAUUUAAAACACAAUAGCUGAAUCAAUACUUUUUGCAGUGCAUAUUUAACGAAGCAAAAUUUUAUAAACAAUUGUUUAGGCGAUUAAGUCGUAUGCUAUACAAGUCCUUGCACAAUUUAAGGAUUGUGGAAUGAGCCGUUUUGUGGUCUACUAUAUAUUUAUAAUAUUUUAUUGUUAACAGAAGCUUUUAUUAUUGAUGCUUCUUCGAUGCAUCAUCGUAGCUGGGUGGCAAAUUCUAAAAAAAAAAAAAUUAUCUGUUAGUAAAAAAAAGCAUUUAUAAAAGAUUAUAAAUUACUUACGUUAUAGGAUGGCGGUAAAUCAUUGGGUCCGGGUGCACUAGGUCCUUGGUUGUAGGGUGUAUUGUAGGCGCUGGCCGCAGCUUCAGCUUCCUUUGAAUCUAUAAGAACGAGGAAAAUACAAUUAACUUCUGUAGCAUAGAAUUUGCCUUAUUUCUAUACAUAAAAUGUAUGUUACACACAUCAGAGAUAAAGUAUUAAAAGUAGCUGACGUUAGUUCAUAAGAUAGUUGAACCAAUAUGAAUGAAUUGUUAAAUUUUCUUUUCUAAAUUUUCUUAUGAAGCAACAGUCUUCUUACAAAAGUAAAUGCUACAAGUAAUUAACCAAUAUUUGCUACUUAAAGCUACAAUGUCUUACAGUCCUUUUAUGGAUAUAUAACAGGUAUUGGUAUAAAACACAAGGUUCUUGCAACUGGAUAACGAUUGGGAUAAUAAUAAUAUUGUGUGCUGCUGGUUCCUGCAAAGUUUGCAUGACAAAAAAGAAUGAAAGAAAGAAAGAAAUCGUUACGCCAAGUUACUAAAUACAAACUAAACAAAAAGAAAAUAA